RNAcentral lists this ribosomal RNA (460 nucleotides) under uncultured bacterium. Its description in RNAcentral is "partial 16S ribosomal RNA". It matches the Rfam family "Bacterial small subunit ribosomal RNA", at positions 338 to 795 of the family's 1533-position model. The record is from RNAcentral.
CCUACGGGAGACAGCAGUGAGGAAUACUGGUCAAUGGACGAGAGUCUGAACCAGCCAAGUAGCGUGAAGGAUGACUGCCCUAUGGGUUGUAAACUUCUUUUAUAUGGGAAUAAAAUGUUCCACGUGUGGGAUUUUGUAUGUACCAUAUGAAUAAGGAUCGGCUAACUCCGUGCCAGCAGCCGCGGUAAUACGGAGGAUCCGAGCGUUAUCCGGAUUUAUUGGGUUUAAAGGGAGCGUAGGUGGAUUGUUAAGUCAGUUGUGAAAGUUUGCGGCUCAACCGUAAAAUUGCAGUUGAAACUGGCAGUCUUGAGUACAGUAGAGGUGGGCGGAAUUCGUGGUGUAGCGGUGAAAUGCUUAGAUAUCACGAAGAACUCCGAUUGCGAAGGCAGUUCACUGGACUGCAACUGACACUGAGGCUCGAAAGUGUGGGUAUCAAACAGGAUUAGAUACCCCAGUAGUC